This is a long non-coding RNA of Paramisgurnus dabryanus, 1202 nucleotides long. RefSeq lists it as uncharacterized. The record is from RefSeq and is a predicted model, not a curated record. Lineage: Eukaryota; Metazoa; Chordata; Actinopteri; Cypriniformes; Cobitidae.
GUUGGGUUAAAAUCGGGCUCACGUCACGCAUUUUGAAUUUCAACGGUUGACCGGUGCCACUGCUGAGUGCGGACAGACACGAGAGACAUUCUUGGAGAUGUUGCAUUAAAAACCUUACAAAAUGGCCAGCAAGAUGAUUCAGCCUUCCUACAGUACCAAGAGGCAAAGCAAACAUUUAUUAAUUUGCAACCUGUCAGAAAACAAACAUAAUUCAGUAUUUGGAGGAGGAGGUAUGACGAAGACCCCAUGUUCUGCUAUGGGAUGAAUUUGACUAAUCACAAGCCUUUGUUAUCGUGGGGAGGCAUGGCCCUGGAGCAAGACCAGCAGUUGACAUGUGCUUUAAUAUUUUUUUUACAUUUUAUACAGAGUAUCCCAAGCCUUUCACUACUGUUAAGUAGUUUCUGUAACACACAAUACAUUUUGUACCAUGUGAUGUUUCCUGAACACACUGUCACCUGCUUAAAGGGACAGUUCCCCCAAAAAUGAAAAUUGUCAUAAUUUUCUUCCUCUCCUGUCGUUACAAACCUGUACACAUUUUUUUGUUCUGAUGACCACAAAGGAAGAUAUUUUGAGUAAUGUUUGAAACCAAACAGAUCAUGAGCCCCAUUGACUGUCAUAGUAGGAAAAAAGAAUACUAUGAAAAUGAAUGGGGCUCAUGAUCGGUUUUAUUUUUUAAACAUUCUUUGAAAUAUACCUUUGUGGUUAUCAAAGUAAAGACUUAUAUACAGGUUUAUAACAACAUGAGAGGGAGAAAAUGAUGACAAAAUGUGUGAACUAUGCUUUUAAGCAGUUUUUAGUUGGAUAAGAUUGAGUAGAUUUGUUUUGUUCUUAUGUUUUUGUUUAUUUAUGUAUGUAUAUAUGUAUGUAUGUGUGUAUGUAUUUAUGCUUCUAUACAUGUAUGUAUUUAUACAUUUAAAUGCAGGUGCAAAUGACUAAAUGAAAUUAAAGCAUUAUAAAUGUAUUUGUAAGUUUUGAAUUAUUUAUUUAUAAAGCAAAUAAUAGUAAUAAAUAAUAAUAAUAAUAAUAAUAAUGGGGUUAAAACAGCAUUGCAAAAAUAACCCAACAAAUUGGUUAUUUCAUAACCCAACUAAUUGGGUAAAACUUUCUACCCAAUGCAUUGGGUUAAAAUAACCCAACAAUGGGUCGGUGCUAUAGUAACCCACCAUUGGGUUAUUUAUUGGGUUAUUUUUAACCCAACUGUU